CACGUAGGGUGCGAGCGUUGUCCGGAAUUAUUGGGCGUAAAGAGCUCGUAGGCGGUCUGUCGCGUCGGCUGUGAAAACUCGGGGCUCAACCCCGAGCCUGCAGUCGAUACGGGCAGACUAGAGUGCGGUAGGGGAGACUGGAAUUCCUGGUGUAGCGGUGAAAUGCGCAGAUAUCAGGAGGAACACCGGUGGCGAAGGCGGGUCUCUGGGCCGUAACUGACGCUGAGGAGCGAAAGCGUGGGGAGCAAACAGG
Molecule: ribosomal RNA, 253 nt
Filed under: uncultured bacterium
Lineage: Bacteria
Description: partial 16S ribosomal RNA
Rfam family: Bacterial small subunit ribosomal RNA
Source: RNAcentral